AUCCAACUGACGAGUCCUAAAUAGGACGAAACGCUCGUCCUGGAU
This is a non-coding RNA of Schistosoma haematobium, 45 nucleotides long. The record is from Rfam. Lineage: Eukaryota; Metazoa; Platyhelminthes; Trematoda; Strigeidida; Schistosomatidae.